UUCUUAUUGGAUGAUGACUGCCACGUGUCAUGUUCUGAUUGGUUAAUUAAAACAACAAUUCAUUUCAUCUUUCGUGGAAUUGACAUCCAAUCAGAACAUGAAACGUGGUGGUCAUCAUCC
This 120-nucleotide microRNA precursor is filed under the name Glycine soja. RNAcentral's name for it is "MIR1520 microRNA precursor family". It matches the Rfam family "MIR1520 microRNA precursor family". Lineage: Eukaryota; Viridiplantae; Streptophyta; Magnoliopsida; Fabales; Fabaceae. The record is from Rfam by way of RNAcentral.